This 254-nucleotide ribosomal RNA is filed under the name uncultured bacterium. Its description in RNAcentral is "partial 16S ribosomal RNA". It matches the Rfam family "Bacterial small subunit ribosomal RNA", at positions 524 to 776 of the family's 1533-position model. The record is from RNAcentral.
UACGGGGGGGGGCAAGCGUUACUCGGAAUUAUUGGGCGUAAAGGGCGCGUAGGCGGUCGUGUGCGUCGGAGGUGAAAUCCCCAGGCUUAACCUGGGAACUGCCUCCGAUACGGCAUGGCUUGAGUCCGGGAGAGGGGAGCAGAAUUCCCAGUGUAGCGGUGAAAUGCGUAGAUAUUGGGAGGAAUACCAGUGGCGAAGGCGGCUCCCUGGACCGGUACUGACGCUGAGGCGCGAAAGCGUGGGUAGCAAACAGG